UAUGGGGUACAAGAAAAGCUGGACUCUAUCAGCUCACGCAAUAGAUCCAAUAUCGGGGAGUACUGUCCUGAUGGUUCUACCUGUCCAGUUAGUAAAAAGUGCUGCAUGACGGAAAGUGGAUGGACUUGUUGUACACCAACCCCACCUCCAAUAUACAUUCCAGCUAAUCCUGUGAAACCCUCUUUGUCUGUCGUAACCUGUAAUAAAGACAGAAGCUGCCUUAGUGGCCAAACAUGCUGCAAACACCCUAAAGGCACCUAUUCAUGCUGCCCAUUUCCUGAGGGAGAAUGCUGUCAUGAUGGAUUCAGCUGCUGUAAUCGAGCUUCUGGAUGGUCCUGUGGUCCCAGUGGCACAUGCAUCUGGAGCGGAAUGGUGAUUCCGGAAAAACCCCAACUUAAGGAGUGAUGGACUGACCAGUGAUGGACAGUCCUUGUACAACUCUGCUGCUCUGACUGAGUCCUGCUGCUCUUGGACCUUCCUGAUGAUCUAUAAUGAUUUGCGAUGGCUUCCGUCUAUAUACACACACAAAUAAUCUCCUGGGUUAUUUCAUAGCCGUUAUGUUCCUGUGACUUCAUUUAGUCAGCUGUGAGCAGCGAUGGAGUAACUCUGCUGAAAAUGUCAAACGCAUGUUGCUCCAAUAAAUUCGCAUU
Pygocentrus nattereri (red-bellied piranha) is the source of this 650-nucleotide long non-coding RNA. RefSeq lists it as uncharacterized. The record is from RefSeq and is a predicted model, not a curated record. NCBI's taxonomy places the organism in Eukaryota, Metazoa, Chordata, Actinopteri, Characiformes, Serrasalmidae. The transcript is spliced from 5 exons.